AAAAAAUUAAAAUAAAUUACUAAAAAAGUAAAUAAUUAUUUAUUGAAACUUAAAUAAUUUGGCGGUAUUUUAGUUCAUUUAGAGGAAUCUGUCUAGUAAUUGAUAUUCCACGAAUAAUCAUAUUUAAUUUAUAAUUUUAUAUAUCGUUGUUAAAAAAAUAUUUUUUAAUAAAAAUAAUAUUUUAAAAUUUUAAUUAGAAAUUAAUUCAGAUCAAGAUGUAGAUAAUAAUUAAAAUAUAAGAUGGAUUACAAUAUAUUUAUAUAAAUGGAUAAUAAUUUUGAAAAAUUUAUUUGAAGGUGGAUUUAAAUGUAAUUUUAAAUAAUUUUUUAAAAUGAUUAAUAAUUGAAAUAUGUACAUAUUGCCCGUCACUUUCAUUUAAAAAUUGAAAUAAGUCGUAACAAAGUAGGGGUACUGGAAAGUGUUCCUAGAAAGA
RNAcentral lists this ribosomal RNA (433 nucleotides) under Pontia beckerii (sagebrush white). RNAcentral describes it as "partial 12S ribosomal RNA". The record is from RNAcentral. Lineage: Eukaryota; Metazoa; Arthropoda; Insecta; Lepidoptera; Pieridae.